GGUGGCGAGUGGCGCACGGGUGCGUAACACGUAUGCAAUUUGCCCAUAACUGGGGGAUAGCCCUCCGAAAGGAGGAUUAAUACCCCAUAACCCAGCGAGGUGGCAUCACUUUUCUGGUAAAUCUCCGGAGGUUAUGGAUGAGCAUGCGUCCGAUUAGCUAGUUGGUGAGGUAACGGCUCACCAAGGCAACGAUCGGUAGGGGGUCUGAGAGGAUGAUCCCCCACACGGGUACUGAGACACGGACCCGACUCCUACGGGAGGCAGCAGUAAGGAAUAUUGGACAAUGGAGGCAACUCUGAUCCAGCCAUGCCGCGUGAAGGAUGAAGGCCCUACGGGUUGUAAACUUCUUUUCUCUUAGAAAAAACUACUGGUUUCGUACCGGUACUGAUUGUACAAGAGGAAUAAGCAUCGGCUAACUUCGUGCCAGCAGCCGCGGUAAUACGAAGGAUGCAAGCGUUAUCCGGAUUCACUGGGUUUAAGGGGUGUGCAGGUGGGGUAAUAAGUCAGUGGUGAAAGCCCCCGACUCAAUCGGGGAACUGCCAUAGAUACUGUUAUUCUUGAGUGUGGUUGAGGCGGAUGGAAUAUGACAUGUAGCGGUGAAAUGCUUAGAUAUGUCAUAGAACACCGAUCGCGAAGGCAGUCCGCCAAACCAUUACUGACACUGAAACACGAAAGUGCGGGGAUCAAACAGGAUUAGAUACCCUGGUAGUCCGCACCGUAAACGAUGAUCACUCGUUGUUGGCGAUACACUGUCAGCGACUAAGCGAAAGCAUUAAGUGAUCCACCUGGGAAGUACGACCG
This 801-nucleotide ribosomal RNA is filed under the name uncultured bacterium. RNAcentral's name for it is "bacterial SSU rRNA". It matches the Rfam family "Bacterial small subunit ribosomal RNA", at positions 87 to 888 of the family's 1533-position model. The record is from RNAcentral.